NNCGCCCGGUCCCAUUCCGAACCCGGAAGCUAAGCCCUUCAGCGCCGAUGGUACUGCACGGGAGACUGUGUGGGAGAGUAGGUCGCCGCC
RNAcentral lists this ribosomal RNA (90 nucleotides) under Cellulomonas carbonis. The record is from RNAcentral. Lineage: Bacteria; Bacillati; Actinomycetota; Actinomycetes; Micrococcales; Cellulomonadaceae.